Molecule: ribosomal RNA, 404 nt
Filed under: Verrucomicrobiota bacterium
Lineage: Bacteria; Pseudomonadati; Verrucomicrobiota
Description: Verrucomicrobia bacterium partial 16S ribosomal RNA
Rfam family: Bacterial small subunit ribosomal RNA
Source: RNAcentral
UGGGGAAUAUUGCACAAUGGGGGAAACCCUGAUGCAGCGACGCCGCGUGAGCGAAGAAGGUUUUCGAAUCGUAAAGCUCUAUCAGUAGGGAAGAUAAUGACGGUACCUACAUAAGAAGCCCCGGCUAAAUACGUGCCAGCAGCCGCGGUAAUACGUAUGGGGCAAGCGUUAUCCGGAUUUACUGGGUGUAAAGGGAGCGUAGGCGGCAGUACAAGUCGGGAGUGAAAACUCGGGGCUCAACCCCGAGACUGCUCUCGAAACUGUACAGCUAGAGUGCAGGAAGGGCAGGCGGAAUUCCUGGUGUAGCGGUGAAAUGCGUAGAUAUCAGGAGGAACACCGGUGGCGAAGGCGGCCUGCUGGACUGUAACUGACGCUGAGGCUCGAAAGCGUGGGGAGCGAACAGG